This 329-nucleotide ribosomal RNA is filed under the name uncultured Legionella sp. Its description in RNAcentral is "bacterial SSU rRNA". It matches the Rfam family "Bacterial small subunit ribosomal RNA", at positions 488 to 817 of the family's 1533-position model. Lineage: Bacteria; Pseudomonadati; Pseudomonadota; Gammaproteobacteria; Legionellales; Legionellaceae. The record is from RNAcentral.
AGCACCGGCUAACUCCGUGCCAGCAGCCGCGGUAAUACGGAGGGUGCGAGCGUUAAUCGGAAUUACUGGGCGUAAAGGGUGCGUAGGUGGUUGUAUAAGUUAUCUGUGAAAUCCCUGGGCUCAACCUGGGCAGGACAGAUAAUACUGUUUGACUCGAGUAUGGGAGAGGGUAGUGGAAUUUCCGGUGUAGCGGUGAAAUGCGUAGAGAUCGGAAGGAACAUCAGUGGCGAAGGCGGCUACCUGGCCUAAUACUGACACUGAGGCACGAAAGCGUGGGGAGCAAACAGGAUUAGAUACCCUGGUAGUCCACGCUGUAAACGAUGUCAACU